GCGAUUCGGCAUGGUCUGAUUUUAAUUUAUUCUCUUGCUUUUUUUGUUAUGUUUCUUUGGUUUUUAAUUGAAGUAUCAUCUUGUUGUUGUAUAUUUUUGAUUUAAUUCUUGUUGCGAUAGUUUACUUGUACCGUGAGGGGUUGAUGAUUUUUUUUGUGGAAGUUGAUUUUGUUUAUUGUACCUUGUGUAUCAGGGUUCAUUGAAUUUUAUUAUUUAUUUUUGUUUCCCGAUUUUGGAGGAGUUAAUGGUUUAUGCUGGUUGGUGUUUUAUCAUCAUCAGUAAUAUAUUGUUGGUAGUGAUAUGCUAUUCGUCUUUGUUGGUUUCUGGUUUUUCAAGAAAUGAAUUUAAUUCAUGCGUUUUGUUUAGGGUUUAUUGUUGGCUUAUUUCUCUUUAUUUAGUGCUAAGAUUGGGGGGGACUAGCUCCUUAUUUUAUUAUUAUAACUUUGUGCUCAGUUAUUUAGUUUUGUGGAUUUUAUGGUGAUUUUCAAUUUGAUUAUGUUAAAAUUUUAUUCGUUCUUUUUUUUAUUUAUUUGGGGUUUAAUCUGUUUAUUGGAAUGUUUUCUUUAUCUUAUUUUGGAUGGUAAUUAUUAUGGAAUUAGUAAAUUUUAUUUUUAUGGUGUUUUAUUGGUGUUAAUUUCUUUUAAGGAAUUAGGCAAAUUUUUUAUGUCCGCCUGUUUAACAAAAACAUCUUUUCUUGUUAGUUUCUGAAGUAUGGCCUGCCCGCUGACGUAUUUUGAGUUGAAGGGCCGCGGUAUUUUGACCGUGCAAAGGUAGCAUAGUCAUUAGUUCUUUAAUUGUGAUCUGGUAUGAAUGGCUUGACGAGACAUAGGCUGUCUUGGUAUGAAUUUGUUGUUGAAUUUGGAGUUUAAGUUAAAAUUCUUAGAUGUUUUUAUGGGACGAGAAGACCCUAUAGAGUUUGACAUUUGAUUACGUAUUUCUUAUUGUUUGUUUUAAAUUUUUGCGUGUCUUUUGUUUUGUUGGGGUGAUGGGAGGAAUAUAUUUAACUCCUCUUUUAUGUGGUAUAUUGAUUUGUAUAUGUUUUGAUCCAUUUAUUUUGAUUGUAAGAUUAAAUUACCUUAGGGAUAACAGCGUUAUCUUCCCUGAGAGUUCUUAUUGGCGGGGGGGUUUGCGACCUCGAUGUUGGAUUAAGGUUAAUUUUUGGUGUAGGAGCUGAAUUGAUUGGGUCUGUUCGACCUUUAAAAUCUUACAUGAUCUGAGUUCAAACCGGCGUGAGCCAGGUUGGUUUCUAUCUAUAAUGAGUUUUAUGCCUUAGUACGAGAGGACCGGGCAUUUGGAAUAAUUUUGUUGUUAUUGGGUUGUUGUUAAUGUGGCUAUUUUGGCAGAUAAGUGCGUUGGAUUUAGAAUCCUUUAA
This 1372-nucleotide ribosomal RNA is filed under the name Odontotermes sp. C TB-2017. RNAcentral describes it as "16S ribosomal RNA". The stretch from base 890 to 1256 matches the Rfam family "Bacterial large subunit ribosomal RNA", at positions 2073 to 2647 of the family's 2925-position model. The record is from RNAcentral. Lineage: Eukaryota; Metazoa; Arthropoda; Insecta; Blattodea; Termitidae.